UGUAGUGGAGGAAUUAAGUGAAGCGAGAGUCCCUUCCAAAGUGCAAAAAGUGAACUUUUUGUCCCACCCACCAUGGACAUUAGGGGCGAUAGGUGAAGGAUCUACAAAAGAAAGCCAAAUCAGAUUUGGGAAAAGUUUUCAAGAAAGCCAAAAGAUGGCUUCUCACGUGGUCUGUGGGUACUGUGGAAAGGCAAAUCAUGUCGAAAGCGAUUGUUGGAGAAAGGGGCGGAAAUGUUUAAUCUGCGGAAGUGGCGAUCAUCAAGUUAGCAACUGUCCGAGGAGACAGUCACGUGAAAGCAAUACUCUGCAACUGGAUGGAGCUAAAUCACAAGUGAAUGAAGGAGGGAAACGAACUAGCGGACCGGCAAAGGUUUAUGCUUUAGACAACCGACAAGUUCCGGACUCGUCUGAGGCAACUGAAGGUAAAAUUUCGAGGACGAAAUUUUUUUAAGGGGGAGAGAAUGUGAGGACUCGCAAAUUCCUUGUAUUUUUCCUCAAAAAUACCCUUUUAUUUGAAAAUUAUUAUUUGUCAAAGCCCACUACCCAAUUAUUUCACAAUAAGUGUAAGUAAACCUAGAAAAUAGGGUUUUACGCUUCGGUUUCAAGUUUGGAGCAAAAUUAGGGUUUUCGCGAUUUUUUCGCCGGAUGAAUUUUCGGUACAGAGUAAGGAUUAAAUUUGAGGAUUAAAAGUGACUUUUAAGUGAGAAAUAAUAUGAGACUAGUAGCAAUGAUAUAAGGUUAGUGAAUGGGAAUUAAAAACCCUAGUACGUGAGUUUUUAAGAAAAACGGCGCGAACCGGCGGGUCCCGCGCACUACCGAUUGAACGCACCACUUGACCCCCACUUUCUUGCCAUACAAGCUCAUUAAUAUUUGAGCAAAAUAUCUCCUAAAUUCCAACUAAGCCUGACCGAAAUUAAUGGCUGAAAAUACAAGAAAGAAAAAGAAAAUUUUACUUGGUAAGGUUUGUGACAAGUGUCACACCCUUAGUGGCCAUUGACCAAGACAAUUGUUCAACCUUCUUAUCCCCAAAUUGGCUUCAUUCACCUUCAUUUUUGCUGCUACUGGCCGAGAGAAACAAGAGAGAAAAACACCAAAGGAAAACAAUUCCAUCUUCUUGAUUUGCUUCAAUUAAGUAAGAAGUUCCAAAUCCAAACCGAUUAAAGGGUAGCUUGUGAGUUGGGAAGCUUGAGGAAACCAAGAAAUUUCAAAGGGAGUGCUCUAUCACUCCUCCAAGCCUAGCUUUUGAGGUAUAAACAUCUAAUCAUGAUCUUGGUUGCUUCAAAUCUUGCUUUAAGAUGUUUCUUUUGCUUAAGUUGUGGCUUAAUUUCAUGAUUUUGCAAGUGGGUGUGAUGAAUUUGGGAUGAAUAAGCAAGUAAGGGUUUCAUAGUAUUCUGCCUAAAUUUGAUGUAUGAUGCAUAUAUGUUGUGAAUAAGGUUAUAAAAGGGACUUUGGUAGUGAUUAGAACAAGAAAAGUGAGAAGGUUCCAUUAAAUACCAAAAAUUCCAGAUUUCUGGAAAUUCUUGCUUCCAUUCUGUCCGAAUUUGAAUCCCUAUGUUAGAGGCCGAAUUGGCCUUAGGUCAAAGAAGAAAAGUUGUAGAGAAUGGUAUUUUAUAGGUGCCUACAAAAUUUCAGCUCAAUCGGAGCAACGUAGGACGUGAAAAGUCCAAAAUACCCUUACUGUUUUAAGUAUUUCCUAAGCAGUCCGUGAGAUCAGUUAAGUUCAGUUUAUCACGUUUUUCGACUAGGAUCCAUUCUGAUUUAGCUUUUUGCCAAAACAUGAAAGUUGUAGUAUUCUGAAUUAGCUUUCAAAUGCCUCUAAGAACACCUGAUUCGGACUUGUGUACUCUGAGAUAUGUCCAUUACAGUGUUCUGCAUUUAAACAGCCGACGAAUUGGUUUCUGGUUUAGUAAUUUGAGAAUUUGACUAAGUUACAUUAGGAACUGGACUAAGUGACCUUCAUGAACAUUGUAGCCCUGAGUCUUAGCUUCGAAACGGCAUAGGUUACGUCUUAAUCCGAUAAGCGUAGCCUCGGAUAAGUUAUUUCCUCUUCAUACGUCAAAUCUGUCUUUUGCUAAAUUGAAAUUCUGCACUUGUUAUUACUGUAUUUCUUAUUCUUAUGAUAUUGUGAGCCUAUGGAACGGCUCUUGACUUGAAUUGCUUAUGUGUGAUGUUGGGUUGUGGUUGAGGAAAAAUAAUGAAGCCAAAAUGGCUGGAAAAUUAGGUAAACACAAAGGGCGUGCUGCCCAAAUUUUCGCCGAGGGCUAGGUUUCUAUUUGAACUUGUAUACUUUUGUUUGGCCAAUACCAUGACCGGUUUUUCAUUUUAAAACAUGAUUUUUCAUCCUUGGGUUCAAACAACCCUCUUCUUACUUGAAAGUCAUCUUUACACGUUUUACUCUUAAUUAGUCGGGUUUCUUUGUUUCCCUUAAAUGUUUUGCUCGAUAAACUAUAAUAAUGUUCUCUUGUUCAACCUUAGGUUUCAUUGGUGAUUAAGGGUAAUAUCCGGAAGGAUAUUUUGCACGAUAUUUUGCAUUUCUAGGUGAGUGUUCCUUAUUUGAUUCUAUGGCUUGUUGUUAUCAUUUGCUAAUGUGUUAAGUGCUUUUAAUGAUUUCCAAAACGAGCUUUCUAGGCAAGUGUGUACUUUAUCGCACUCGACCUAAAUAACUGUGCAAUUUUCAAGGAUUUAAUGAUUGAAAUGUUACUUGCGCAUGAAUGUAAGCCUUUUGGGCUGAACUGGCCAUUGCCCCUUGUUACCGGUCGUCUCGAGCCAGAAGCGGACUCGGUCGGGCGAUUAGGGACUUGGGUGAACGUUUGGUAUACUCGAGUAUUACCCUGUAGGUUGGUGGAGACUGGCCAACGGCCAGGACGGGGUGAAUGAAUGAAUGAAUGAACGAACGAACGAACGAGGGUUUAUUGAUAAACGAAAAAUGCAUUUUCAAAUGAUUGGGAGGAACAAGGGGAAAUGUCAGGAGAACGAAUGAAUGAAAUAACGAAUUGCUCCUUGUGAGCCGUAUCCUUUUAAUGAAUGUGUUACUAUCGCUUUCCAUUGUAAAUGUUUCUUGAAUUAUUGAUACUCCAUGUUUAAUGUAUUGGAUUGAUUAUCUGAUUAUGUGUUCGGAACCUCACUGGGCUUUUAGCUCAUUCCUUUAGUUUUGUUUUCCUUACAGGGGAAGGCGAGCGAGGACGUGAGCUUGAGAUAGACUAGCCAAUCUAGUUUUGUUUCUUUUGUAGUGGUUCUCGCCUAGUGCUUGGCACGGGCUGGACGUAUGAAGGAUUGAGAACCCUUGUAUAUUUGAUGUUUAUAUUCUCUUUUGGGUUGGCAAUGUAUAUAAGUUCCGCUUUAAGUUUGGAUCAAUGCCCUAUUUAUUCUUGUGAUUGAUUUCAAUUUUUAAUUGAGGACUGUAGCGAAUGACUGAGUCCCGGCGAGAGAUGGGCAGGCGGCCCGCCGAACCCUCUGGUACGCCUUAGGGGGAGGUGGGGUCGUUACAAGUGGUAUCAGAGCUUAGGCUUCAGAUCUCUGUAGUGUAUCCUAGAUUAAAGAUUAUGGUACCGGACUGUGGGAUUUGAUUGGACUUGAAAGUUAAGCGAUUGAGGGAUAAAAUUUAUAGUUGCUUCGCGUGGUUUCUACGUGGAGUGACCCUGGACUAAGUGGUGAAAAAGUAUGAGCGACUAAGUGAAGCUAUGAAUUGCAAAUGUUAUAGGCCUUAAAUCUUUCUCAUGGUAUCUGAGGACCAUAGAUAGGUAUGUCAGGUAGGAAUUCCGAUUGUAGAUAGUUUACUCUUGAGACUGCAGCUCGAGAUGUGAAUUAUCUUAAUUCGGAUUCUCGUGCCUGAGUACUCUAUAGUUGAGGUGCUGCUAAAUACUUGAGACUUGUAUUUUGGGAACAUGAACAGGCUUUGUCUGACUAGAAUGAGCACAAGAGGGCAGGGACAUCUAGUUUGGAUAGUAAAUGACGUGAGAGACCAGACGGGCUGAUACUGGGGCGACUUCACCUUUUCCUUUUGAUUUACCUGUAUAUUGUUACUACAUGACGUUAGUAUACCUGUAUGUACAUGGUUAUCUGUCCAACUUGAUAUGUAUUUGUGUAUUUGCUUAUCCGUCUUUUUGGUAUGGCGUGUUAUGUGGGUAUAUGUUUAUUUGAAUAUUUGGUGCCCUCAAUAGUUACUUUAGUAAUCUUAUCGUGUUUAUUUACUAAAUUACCUUUUGGGGGAAAAGAAAAGAGAGGGAAAACAUAUAUAUGGACGGGAGACGUAGUCGUGGACGUGGUCGGGGCCGGGGAACUGAGCGGACCCCGGAAGCAAGAGGAGAAAGGGAAACGUCAGCUGAGCAAGAGCAGGGAUCAAGAGCUGCGACUGGAGACCAAAUGGCAACGGCAAUGCAACAGAUGACGGAUAUCUUGGCAAGACUGGUAGAUCAACAAGGCCAAAUGGCCGUGAAUCAACCCCGGAACCCUGAAAUCGGAGAAGAUAAGGCUCUUGAGCGGUUUCAGAAAUUUACUCCUCCGAAAUUCCUUGGAGGAUCUGAUCCGGAUAUAGCCGAACAAUGGUUAGAGGCCAUGAUUAAUAUUUUCACCGUCUUGAACUACACCGAGCAAAGACAAGUAAACUUUGCGGUGUUCCAAUUUGAAGGAUCGGCCCGAGCGUGGUGGAACGUUAUUAAAGCAAAAUGGGAAAGAGAACAGACCGUAUGGACAUGGACGAAUUUCAUAAGGGAAUUUAACGAGAAAUACCUCCCUCCUUUAGUUCAAGAGAGGAGAGAGGAAGAGUUUAUUGGACUACGCCAGGGAACGUUAAGUGUGGCCGAAUAUGAAAUGAAAUUUACGAAACUAUCCAAGUUUGCUUCUGAAUUGGUGGCCACAGAACGGAGAAGAGUAAGACGGUUUAUACAAGGAUUAAAUUUGGAACUCCAAGAAGCAUUAGCGGCAGUACAAGUGAAUACGUUUACGGAGGCCCUUGAGAAAGCUCAAAGAAUCGAGACUGCAAAGGCACAGAUAAAAGCUUCCCAGACCCAGAAAAGGAGUGCAUCGAGUAGUGUAGUGAGGAAUUAAGUGAAGCGAGAGUCCCUUCCAAAGUGCAAAAAGUGAACUUUUUGUCCCACCCACCAUGGACAUUAGGGGCGAUAGGUGAAGGAUCUACAAAAGAAAGCCAAAUCAGAUUUGGGAAAAGUUUUCAAGAAAGCCAAAAGAUGGCUUCUCACGUGGUCUGUGGGUACUGUGGAAAAGCAAAUCAUGUCGAAAGCGAUUGUUGGAGAAAGGGGCGGAAAUGUUUAAUCUGCGGAAGUGGCGAUCAUCAAGUUAGCAACUGUCCGAGGAGACAGUCACGUGAAAGCAAUACUCUGCAACUGGAUGGAGCUAAAUCACGAGUGAAUGAAGGAGGGAAACGAACUAGCGGACCGGCAAAGGUUUAUGCUUUAGACAACCGACAAGUUCCGGACUCGU
Molecule: long non-coding RNA, 5436 nt
Filed under: Coffea arabica (coffee)
Lineage: Eukaryota; Viridiplantae; Streptophyta; Magnoliopsida; Gentianales; Rubiaceae
Description: long non-coding RNA (CARA_LNC001189)
Source: RNAcentral